RNAcentral lists this ribosomal RNA (461 nucleotides) under uncultured bacterium. Its description in RNAcentral is "partial 16S ribosomal RNA". It matches the Rfam family "Bacterial small subunit ribosomal RNA", at positions 338 to 795 of the family's 1533-position model. The record is from RNAcentral.
CCUACGGGUGGCAGCAGUGAGGAAUAUUGGUCAAUGGGCGGAAGCCUGAACCAGCCAAGUCGCGUGAGGGAAUAAGGCCCUACGGGUCGUAAACCUCUUUUGCCGGGGAGCAAGGGCGGGGCCGUGUCCCGGCCCGGAGAGUACCCGGAGAAAAAGCAUCGGCUAACGCCGUGCCAGCAGCCGCGGUAAUACGGAGGAUGCGAGCGUUAUCCGGAUUUAUUGGGUUUAAAGGGUACGUAGGCGGGCUUUUAAGUCAGCGGUAAAAAUUGCGGGGCUCAACCUCGUCGAGCCGUUGAAACUGGGUGCCUUGAGUGGGCGAGAAGUACGCGGAAUGCGUGGUGUAGCGGUGAAAUGCAUAGCUAUCACGCAGAACUCCGAUUGCGAAGGCAGCGUACCGGCGCCCAACUGACGCUGAAGCACGAAGGCGUGGGUAUCGAACAGGAUUAGAUACCCGUGUAGUC